RNAcentral lists this long non-coding RNA (1040 nucleotides) under Bos taurus (domestic cattle). RNAcentral describes it as "long non-coding RNA NONBTAT016482". The record is from RNAcentral. Lineage: Eukaryota; Metazoa; Chordata; Mammalia; Artiodactyla; Bovidae.
UGUGUGUGUCUGUGUUUGAAGGGUCAUAUGUGUGAAGAAUCCUUUCCAGCUUUUGAAAAAGAUACUUCAGGCAGGGCUAACAUCCCUGUAGCCAACAGCUCCCACUAAAGCUAAAAUUUCUCCCCCCUGGCCUGAGCCAAGUGCUGUUCUUAAUUUCACAGCUUCAGAAAACCUGCCCAACUUCAACUUAUUUUGGCCCUGAGCCCAUUAUUUUGUUUGCUUUUAAUUAUCUUUCAGGACCACCACACCGGGUGAUGUACUUCUUUUUUCUGCCCCGAUCUCACAUCUUUGUACCACGAAUACACCACUGAGUGACACUCUAUUUCUGCGUACGCCAACUUUGGUUUUGGUAAAUGAGAAAAUGCUUGCUUCUUGUUAUCUGUGGUGUGAAAUUCCUUUGGGGAGCCCCACCAAUAAAAUAAAUAAGACCAUCAGGAGUCCUUAGACUCACUAAAAUUCCAGACUCUCUAAAAACAAUAUUUUCUGUCUAAUCUUAACGUUAACAAAACGAUCAGUUGGGAGCCAAAGCAUGGCUGUGGGAUGAGCUAUUUUGGACACUAACUGCAUGACAUUUAGAAUAACCAAGUCACCGUGGACAUUAAGGUGUCAACGAGAAGUGUCUGUUUCUCUGACGUGCACUUAUAAAUGCCUCAUAAUGGUGUAUGUGUGUGAUGUGUAAGCAUGCACCCCAGACAGCAGAGAAAGUCGACAGUAACAUGUCAUUACCAUGAGCAUUCAAGCUGAAAAGCUGUAGUCAGUUUAACUUGUUAUCAUUCUUGGCCUUGAACUAAGCUUUGUGGCCACUCUGUGAGAAACCAUCAUAGACACAAAAUCGGCAUGUGAUAAAUGAUUCCAACAGAGGUGUGACUGGCCAGCAAACAACAUUUUCAUAAAGGGCCUUUGCUCUUUGUUAGGGGCAAAAAAAUAUGUUUCCUUGGAAGGAUAAUUGCCUCUUCUUUAAAGGCCAGAGGAUGGAGACAGGGGAGCUGAUUGAAAUUUAUGCCAGUGGAAUGCAGGAGAGUUGCAUUUAUAAGGUGUUA